AUGUCAUGAUGUGGGCAUUUCCUAAGCAAAUCAUUAAACCUUUCCUAUGCUUCAUGAAAUAUUUCCCCAUCCCCUUGAGAAAAUUCACGAAUGGGAUUCCUCAUAGCAU
Molecule: small nucleolar RNA, 109 nt
Organism: Cornus florida
Lineage: Eukaryota; Viridiplantae; Streptophyta; Magnoliopsida; Cornales; Cornaceae
Source: RefSeq, a predicted model, not a curated record